GGAAAGAAGAGAGGAAGGUGAGCUAUAGCUUAACUCCUCCAGAGUGAGGAGAGGCUGAGCAUUCUACUACAGGACAGGACCUCGCCCCAAGCAAGCCAGUGAGCAGCCCGGCCAGACCCUGCUGGACUGAGAGACCCAGCCGCUGACAGUCCCUGGGGCUUGCCUUCUUUGCCAAGCCAAUGGGAAACCAAAAGGAGCUCACUUCCUGUUCUUCCUAGCUCCCCUCCCUGCCGCUGUGCUCCGCUCCUCCCCACACUUCCUUGCUACAGUUCCCAGCUGCUGUAACAGAGCCACCUCCACCUCUAACAAUAAACCAAGUUCAUUGCAGAUGGUGUGGUGCUGCCUAGGCUUUCCAAGGCUCCUCCAGACAGUAAGCUAUCCUGGUUUCCAUCCCUCUGGUUCAGUUAUCAUUUAUCUUGGAAGACUCUCCAUUAUUCAAACCCAUCCCAGGACUCGGGAGAGCCAGCCUGUGUGAAAGGAGGAUGAGAUGAGAGAACCAUCAUCAUUUCUGAAAAGAAGCAGGGUGUGAUGGUGCAUGCCUGUGAUCUUAACACUCAGGGUAGAGGUGGAAGAAUUAGGAGUUUGAGGGCAGCCUGGGCUAUAGAAAGUUUUGGGCCAGCCUGAGCUACACAGUGAGUGAGUCCUUGUCUC
RNAcentral lists this long non-coding RNA (651 nucleotides) under Mus musculus (house mouse). Its description in RNAcentral is "long non-coding RNA chr2:121309109-121309760". The record is from RNAcentral. Lineage: Eukaryota; Metazoa; Chordata; Mammalia; Rodentia; Muridae.